AGUGAACGCUGGCGGUAGGCCUAACACAUGCAAGUCGAACGGCAGCACAGGUGAGCUUGCUCUCUGGGUGGCGAGUGGCGGACGGGUGAGGAAUACAUCGGAAUCUACUCUGUCGUGGGGGAUAACGUAGGGAAACUUACGCUAAUACCGCAUACGACCUACGGGUGAAAGCAGGGGACCUUCGGGCCUUGCGCGAUUGAAUGAGCCGAUGUCGGAUUAGCUGGUUGGCGGGGUAAAGGCCCACCAAGGCGACGAUCCGUAGCUGGUCUGAGAGGAUGAUCAGCCACACUGGAACUGAGACACGGUCCAGACUCCUACGGGAGGCAGCAGUGGGGAAUAUUGGACAAUGGGCGCAAGCCUGAUCCAGCCAUACCGCGUGGGUGAAGAAGGCCUUCGGGUUGUAAAGCCCUUUUGUUGGGAAAGAAAUCCAGCUGGCUAAUACCCGGUUGGGAUGACGGUACCCAAAGAAUAAGCACCGGCUAACUUCGUGCCAGCCGCCGCAGUAA
RNAcentral lists this ribosomal RNA (506 nucleotides) under uncultured bacterium. RNAcentral describes it as "partial 16S ribosomal RNA". It matches the Rfam family "Bacterial small subunit ribosomal RNA", at positions 29 to 523 of the family's 1533-position model. The record is from RNAcentral.